AACUGCGAUAAGUGAUGUGAAUUGCAGACGUAUACGAAUCAUCGAACCCUUGAACGCAUUCUGCGCCUCGAAGCUUGUCUUCGAGGCAUAUCUGGGUGAGUGUCGGUUUAACCUUCUUGCAUAUAAUGCACAUUGAUGUAGUCUUAUGCAGCGUUUGAUAGUAAAUCGUUAAGGUCUUCUAUUAAAAUAAAUCGAUACUCUUGAUUAGAAUUCUUCGGAAAUAGAGCAAUCCUCUUCUGAUUGGUUUGAAGGAACUUGUUGCUACUUGUCAUUUCGAAAUGGAUUGUAUUCUUAAUCUGAGAAUUCUUAGUCGAAUGGUACAUGUUGGAUUAAAAAUCUAAUUUUUAAUCAAACCUUCGACCUCACCUAGGUAAGAUUACCCGCUGAAUUUAAGC
This 395-nucleotide unclassified non-coding RNA is filed under the name plant metagenome. Its description in RNAcentral is "partial contains 5.8S ribosomal RNA, internal transcribed spacer 2, and large subunit ribosomal RNA". The stretch from base 1 to 105 matches the Rfam family "5.8S ribosomal RNA", at positions 51 to 154 of the family's 154-position model. The record is from RNAcentral.